Molecule: long non-coding RNA, 571 nt
Organism: Hypomesus transpacificus
Lineage: Eukaryota; Metazoa; Chordata; Actinopteri; Osmeriformes; Osmeridae
Exons: 3
Source: RefSeq, a predicted model, not a curated record
CAACACAAACACUGAUUUACCAUCCUCUAUGACAUUUUAUUCAUAUUGAGUAUGUUUUGUUGAUGUUUGGUCUGCAUGGACACAGUGGAGGGUAGGAGGGCAGGUACGUACUGCAUGGACACAGUGGAGGGGUGGGAGGGCAGGUACGUACUGCAUGGACACAGUGGAGGGGUGGGAGGGCAGGUACGUACUGCAUGGACACAGUGGAGGGGUGGGAGGGCAGGUACGUACUGCAUGGACACAGUGGAGGGGUGGGAGGGCAGGUACGUACUGCAUGGACACAGUGGAGGGUAGGAGGGCAGGUACGUACUGCAUGGACACAGUGGAGGGUAGGAGGGCAGGUACGUACUGCAUGGACACAGUGGAGGGCAGGUACGUACUGCAUGGACACAGUGGAGGGGUGGGAGGGCAGGUACGUACUGCAUGGACACAGUGGAGGGUAGGAGGGCAGGUACGUACUGCAUGGACACAGUGGAGGGUAGGAGGGCAGGUACGUACUGCAUGGACACAGUGGAGGGUAGGAGGGCAGGUACGUACUGCAUGGACACAGUGGAGGGGUGGGAGGGCAGGU